AGUGGCGGACGGGUGAGUAACGCGUGAGAAUCUGCCUUGGGGUCGGGGACAACCACUGGAAACGGUGGCUAAUACCGGAUAAGCCGAUUGGUGAAAGAAUUAUUGCCCGAAGAGGAGCUCGCGUCUGAUUAGCUAGUUGGUGAGGUAAGAGCUCACCAAGGCAGCGAUCAGUAGCUGGUCUGAGAGGACGAUCAGCCACACUGGGACUGAGACACGGCCCAGACUCCUACGGGAGGCAGCAGUGGGGAAUUUUCCGCAAUGGGCGAAAGCCUGACGGAGCAAGACCGCGUGAGGGAGGAAGGCUCUUGGGUUGUAAACCUCUUUUCUCAGGGAAGAAGCUCUGACGGUACCUGAGGAAUCAGCCUCGGCUAACUCCGUGCCAGCAGCCGCGGUAAUACGGAGGAGGCAAGCGUUAUCCGGAAUUAUUGGGCGUAAAGCGUCCGCAGGUGGCGAUUCAAGUCUGCUGUCAAAGCACGGGGCUUAACUCCGUAAAGGCAGUGGAAACUGAAUAGCUAGAGUGCCGUAGGGGUAGAGGGAAUUCCCGGUGUAGCGGUGAAAUGCGUAGAGAUCGGGAAGAACAUCGGUGGCGAAAGCGCUCUACUGGACGGCAACUGACACUCAGGGACGAAAGCUAGGGGAGCGAAUGGGAUUAGAUACCCC
This 660-nucleotide ribosomal RNA is filed under the name uncultured bacterium. RNAcentral's name for it is "bacterial SSU rRNA". It matches the Rfam family "Bacterial small subunit ribosomal RNA", at positions 94 to 788 of the family's 1533-position model. The record is from RNAcentral.